AAAGACCCUGCAAUUUGGCAUACUUUUGUCUUGGUGUUAAUUUAAUCUCGAAUUUCAGUACUUCACCAUUAUCCAAAUCAAGAUAAUUUCCCUUACUCUAGAAAAUUCCUUCCUGCUCCUUAUUCAUCAGUCCCUGCCUGCCAUGUCCGCUGAUGCUGGUUUCUAUCACUAUAGAUUCAUUUUACCUUCUGACUCCUAUUUUUCAAGUGAAAACAUCCUUUUAUUUGACUGGGUCAGAUUCAAGCACAUGCAUGUUAUUAUUUUGAAAAUGUCAUUGUGUUGUGCCUUAAAAGAUCUUAAUUCUGAAAACUUUCUUUUGCAGAAGAGGAAAAGAAAGCCAAGAAACCUUCCUCGGGACUGACAGUGGAAUUAGAACGAGACAGCUCGGAGGGUGAGUUAUCAUGCGUAAGGAGCUUCGGGGUGUCCACUCUGAGUUUGCAAAUAAUUUGCAUUUCUUAGGGAUUCUCCAGUGAUGUCACUGCAGCUAGCUGGCUUGGGCACCAGACUUUGAGAAUCACUAUUUUAGCCAAAUUCAGUUCUUGUAGGUACACACUCCAGAUAUUUUCAAAGGACUUGGCAAGCAUUCUUUUUUUUUUUUUUUUUUUUUUU
This is a long non-coding RNA of Sapajus apella (tufted capuchin), 609 nucleotides long. RefSeq lists it as uncharacterized. The record is from RefSeq and is a predicted model, not a curated record. The transcript has 2 exons. Lineage: Eukaryota; Metazoa; Chordata; Mammalia; Primates; Cebidae.